Molecule: transfer RNA, 75 nt
Filed under: Candidatus Peregrinibacteria bacterium RIFCSPLOWO2_01_FULL_48_20
Lineage: Bacteria; Candidatus Peregrinibacteriota
Also listed under: 2 other names
Description: tRNA-Gly
Rfam family: tRNA
About the family: Transfer RNA (tRNA) molecules are approximately 80 nucleotides in length. Their secondary structure includes four short double-helical elements and three loops (D, anti-codon, and T loops). Further hydrogen bonds mediate the characteristic L-shaped molecular structure. tRNAs have two regions of fundamental functional importance: the anti-codon, which is responsible for specific mRNA codon recognition, and the 3' end, to which the tRNAs corresponding amino acid is attached (by aminoacyl-tRNA synthetases). tRNAs cope with the degeneracy of the genetic code in two manners: having more than one tRNA (with a specific anti-codon) for a particular amino acid; and 'wobble' base-pairing, i.e. permitting non-standard base-pairing at the 3rd anti-codon position.
Source: RNAcentral
GCAGGUAUCGUAUAGCGGCUAUUAUGCCACCUUGCCAAGGUGGAGAUGCGGGUUCGACUCCCGCUACUUGCUCCA